RNAcentral lists this transfer RNA (73 nucleotides) under Vicugna pacos (alpaca). Its description in RNAcentral is "tRNA-Ala (AGC) (tRNA-Ala-AGC-755-1)". It matches the Rfam family "tRNA". From Rfam's summary of the family: Transfer RNA (tRNA) molecules are approximately 80 nucleotides in length. Their secondary structure includes four short double-helical elements and three loops (D, anti-codon, and T loops). The record is from RNAcentral. Lineage: Eukaryota; Metazoa; Chordata; Mammalia; Artiodactyla; Camelidae.
GGAGGGUAUAGCUCAGUGGUAGAGCGUGUGCUUAGCAUGCACGAGGUCCUGGGUUCAAUCCCCAGCACCUCCG